ACAGCUGUCCCUGUUCUUGGGUGCAUCACGCCGCACCAGUUUGGAGCUGGCCGAGCAGCUGGGCGUACUGGCCAGCUGUGACCCGCCGAGGCGGUCUGCUGGCCAUCCCGUCUCUCAUGGGCCAGAGUGGAUGAAAAAGGCAAACGGUGCGGAAAAUUGCCACGUCUUUCCCCUGGAAAUGCUUAAAAUAUCUGUAAACUACAUACU
RNAcentral lists this long non-coding RNA (207 nucleotides) under Calidris pygmaea (Spoon-billed sandpiper). Its description in RNAcentral is "lncRNA (ENSCPGG00000006672.1)". The record is from RNAcentral. Lineage: Eukaryota; Metazoa; Chordata; Aves; Charadriiformes; Scolopacidae.